CCUCUCUCCAGGGGAGAGAGCGAGGCGUAUCUGGGAGAACCUCUGCUUCUAAUGCGGGCAGCCUGGCCAUAUUCGCAGCACCUUUCCCAAAUCGCUCUGCAGAGCUGGAAUGCCAUCAGAGGAAUGUGAGCAGCAGCGGGAUGUUGUUCUCGGACACUGAGGCAGCUUUGAAGACACCAGCCUCCCACGCGAACUCUGAGAGCUUUAAACUGACAACCGUCACAGGAGCGCCUGCUCCUUUGUGGGAUUAUUCAUCAGUGGAGGAGGAGGAGGGGGGGCAUUAAUUAAGUGCACUGCAAUGGAUUGAUGUCUGUGCAUGUUACAUCUACCUUCAAAAAACAAAAAGAAAGGGAUGCAUGUCUCAAAAACCUGUCGAGUUGGAUUUUCCCGUUGUGAUCGAAGCCUCCAUUCAGGCCCUGUGACGCAUCACUGUAGCUUUAAACGCCCGUUGCCAUGGAAACAGGAACCAGCACGCAGGUUUGAAGCACAGAUCAUGAUCUUUUUUUCCCUUCUCUUUCUGUCUUGCUCUCUAAGUCACUUUCAGUCUCCUUUCACCCUGCCACUCCACUCCUUAGCUUAGUCUUUUUUUUUAUUCCUCUUCCCUCCACGUUCUCUUUAUCCUCCCUUGACUUUCAUAGAUUCAUUAUUUUGGGGCAUAAUCUUCCUUUCCCAAGGUUUCCCCCUCUUUCUCCUCCACCUGCAAGAAUGAGGAGGAAGAGGUUUCCCCCUCUUCCUCACAGGUUUUCAUUCCCCGUGAUUUCAUUCACACCUCCCUCUUAAUUCAUCCAUGUCAAGUUGUCACCGCAAAUUUCAUUGCUGUCUUCCUCUCCUUUCAUCACUCUCUUCACUUGUCAUGUCAUCCUCUGUGCCUCUUCCCUUCCACCCAUCCACCAUCUUCCUGGGCUUCUCUUUAUCUUUUCCUGCUGUCCAUAGUUUCUUUUCUUUCUUAUAAUCUUUGGUUGUAGAUAUGAAGCUCAGUCAAACUCCCAGGAGACUUUGCAACAGCACAUCCAUUUAAACAUGCCUUUGCAUAAUGCAAGAUAGCUGCUGUGUGCAUCAAACAAUUUCUUUUGGAGGCAAACGGCUGCAAGCACAAAACUGUAUGAUACAAUUACUGUCCUGUUUCCACAAUAAAAAAUGAUGCAGUCCUCAAUAAAGAGAAGGUUUGGAGCAAAAGUUGUACUUUUAGCCUUGCAUGAAUUAGUUUAGAACAACUGUUUUUUCCCAUUUUUAUCCUUUAUUUCAGUCUGGAGAAUAAAAAGACCCAAAUCAGA
Molecule: long non-coding RNA, 1274 nt
Organism: Oryzias latipes (Japanese medaka)
Lineage: Eukaryota; Metazoa; Chordata; Actinopteri; Beloniformes; Adrianichthyidae
Source: RefSeq, a predicted model, not a curated record